This 67-nucleotide transfer-messenger RNA is filed under the name Escherichia coli. RNAcentral describes it as "partial transfer-messenger RNA". It matches the Rfam family "transfer-messenger RNA", at positions 306 to 374 of the family's 374-position model. From Rfam's summary of the family: Bacterial tmRNA, also known as 10Sa RNA or SsrA, is named for its dual tRNA and mRNA-like properties. Its role is to liberate the mRNA from a stalled ribosome. The record is from RNAcentral. Lineage: Bacteria; Pseudomonadati; Pseudomonadota; Gammaproteobacteria; Enterobacterales; Enterobacteriaceae.
GACUAAGCAUGUAGUACCGAGGAUGUAGGAAUUUCGGACGCGGGUUCAACUCCCGCCAGCUCCACCA